Molecule: ribosomal RNA, 301 nt
Filed under: uncultured bacterium
Lineage: Bacteria
Description: partial 16S ribosomal RNA
Rfam family: Bacterial small subunit ribosomal RNA
Source: RNAcentral
CAGCCGCCACGGGAAAACGUAGGUGGCAAGCGUUGUCCGGAAUUAUUGGGCGUAAAGCGAGCGCAGGCGGUUUGAUAAGUCUGAAGUUAAAGGCUGUGGCUCAACCAUAGUUCGCUUUGGAAGCUGUCAAACUUGAGUGCAGAAGGGGAGAGUGGAAUUCCAUGUGUAGCGGUGAAAUGCGUAGAUAUAUGGAGGAACACCGGUGGCGAAAGCGGCUCUCUGGUCUGUUACUGACGCUGAGGCUCGAAAGCGUGGGGAGCGAACAGGAUUAGAUACCCGCGUAGUCCCUGUCUCUUAUACC